Molecule: unclassified non-coding RNA, 277 nt
Filed under: Hevea brasiliensis (rubber tree)
Lineage: Eukaryota; Viridiplantae; Streptophyta; Magnoliopsida; Malpighiales; Euphorbiaceae
Source: RNAcentral
CGAAAAGCUGUUGUUGAGAGUGCCUAUGAGGUUAUCCGACUCAAAGGGUACACCUCCUGGGCCAUAGGCUAUUCUGCUGCCAGCCUCGCCCGCUCGCUCCUCCGUGACCAGCGUAAAAUCCACCCAGUGUCCCUUCUGGCCAAGGGAUUUUACGGCAUCGCUGAUGACCGUGAGGUGUUUCUCAGCUUACCUGCGCAGCUCGGGCGAGGCGGGGUGAUGGGGGUUGCUAAUGUGCAUCUUACUGAGGAGGAGUCGGCGAGGCUCCGGCGGUCUGCUG